AGAGUUUGAUCUUGGCUCAGGACGAACGCUGGCGGCGUGCCUAAUACAUGCAAGUCGAGCGAGCUUGCCUAGAUGAUUUUAGUGCUUGCACUAAAUGAAACUAGAUACAAGCGAGCGGCGGACGGGUGAGUAACACGUGGGUAACCUGCCCAAGAGACUGGGAUAACACCUGGAAACAGAUGCUAAUACCGGAUAACAACACUAGACGCAUGUCUAGAGUUUGAAAGAUGGUUCUGCUAUCACUCUUGGAUGGACCUGCGGUGCAUUAGCUAGUUGGUAAGGUAACGGCUUACCAAGGCAAUGAUGCAUAGCCGAGUUGAGAGACUGAUCGGCCACAUUGGGACUGAGACACGGCCCAAACUCCUACGGGAGGCAGCAGUAGGGAAUCUUCCACAAUGGACGAAAGUCUGAUGGAGCAACGCCGCGUGAGUGAAGAAGGGUUUCGGCUCGUAAAGCUCUGUUGGUAGUGAAGAAAGAUAGAGGUAGUAACUGGCCUUUAUUUGACGGUAAUUACUUAGAAAGUCACGGCUAACUACGUGCCAGCAGCCGCGGUAAUACGUAGGUGGCAAGCGUUGUCCGGAUUUAUUGGGCGUAAAGCGAGUGCAGGCGGUUCAAUAAGUCUGAUGUGAAAGCCUUCGGCUCAACCGGAGAAUUGCAUCAGAAACUGUUGAACUUGAGUGCAGAAGAGGAGAGUGGAACUCCAUGUGUAGCGGUGGAAUGCGUAGAUAUAUGGAAGAACACCAGUGGCGAAGGCGGCUCUCUGGUCUGCAACUGACGCUGAGGCUCGAAAGCAUGGGUAGCGAACAGGAUUAGAUACCCUGGUAGUCC
RNAcentral lists this ribosomal RNA (828 nucleotides) under uncultured bacterium. RNAcentral's name for it is "bacterial SSU rRNA". It matches the Rfam family "Bacterial small subunit ribosomal RNA", at positions 8 to 796 of the family's 1533-position model. The record is from RNAcentral.